UGCGCAUGCGCAGAUCGCGCGUACGGGACGGGAAGCGGCGGCGAUGGAGGCGAGGGGCUCGGCGGGCGGCGGGAGGCCCGUGAAGGGCAUCCUCAAGAACCGCUCCGACAGCGGCUCAGGGAGCGCGGGGCGGGGCCUGGCCGACACCGAGGCUCUCUCGCAGGCCUCGCCGCUGCCGCCCGCCGCGCCGCUCCUGCAAGCGCAGCAGCCGAGCACCGAGAGCCCCGGCGAGGAACAAGGGAAGAAGACGCAGAAGUGGGACGAGAUGAACAUCCUGGCCACCUACCACCCGCCCGGCAAGGACUACGGCCUCAUGAAGAUCGACGAGCCCAGCACCCCCUACCACAGCCUGAAGGAGGAGGACGCCGGCAGCGACGCCGAGGACAGCUCGGGGCCCACGGCGGACGUCCUGGCCGAAAAGUUGGCAGCUGCUGCGCAAGGGCAGGGCCCCAAAAUCCUGGCAAGGCAGGAUUACAGCAGUGACGAAGAGGAGGAGGAUGACGAGGUAGACCUGACUCCGGAAGAAUUGGAGAAAAAAAGGCAGUUUGAAAUGAAGAGGAAAAUGCAUUACAACGAAGCACAGAACAUCAAGCUGGCCAGGCAGCUGAUCGCAAAGGAAAUGCACGGUGAGGCUGCCACUGAGGAGGAAGAUUGUGAGGAGGAUGAGGAAGAAGACGAGGACAAUGAGGAUGACAUGCAGGAUGAGUGUAAAACAGACACAGAAUCAGCCGCUGCUGCCCUGGAGCCUCACGCCUGAUUCUGUGCAGUGUGGAAAAGUUUCUCUGUUUGUGCCACAUCAAGUGUUAGAAGCCUUGGUUGGAUGUCUGCUUGCCGGCACGUCCCAUCUCUUCCCAGCGGCCUCUGUCCCUUCCGGGGGAACCUCCUCCUUGAGCUGGAGAGGGAACAGUGGAGUACCUGCUCCUGGCGACCCGCUUGAGAACAUUGAACACAGCCUUGAAGAAGUCUGCUCAGGACUGUAACAGCUCCCACCCUUUUGUAUUCCUUGCCGCAUCACCCUCCUGCAGGUCUGUUUCAACAAGUUGGCACGCACUUUGAUAUUUGACGAAAAUGGUGGUGGUCUCAAGGUUCUCCGUUUGGCAAUGGAAAUGUUGCUGAUGUGGCUGGUUCUGGUGGCCACAGAAGAUGGUUUCGUUGCUCAUCUGCUGAAGAAAACAGCGUGGGGCAGAACCAGUGAGCCAGGCCCAUUGGUGCCACUCCUUUCUCUGGUUUUAACCUGCAAAACAUCUGGACGCUUUGGUUUCUCUUUUAUCAUGCUGUAGUAUUUGAGUUACACACAAAUGGCUUGAUGUUAAUGCGCUUUACUACAGCUAAGAAAAGCCCCUUGGCCAAAGGGAUGAAUGGAAGGGUGUUUUUACAGCCUUUUCCCCUUCCCCCCCUGCAGACUUCAGCGGGUUCCGAGAGGCGGGCACUUCUUGCCCCGCCUGCCUGCCUGCCGAAAGGGAAAGAGCAGCUAGAUGGCUUUCCCAGCUGCAGUGUUCUAAAGUGGGAGACGAUCAGCCUGUGGCUACCCUUUUCCCCAUUGGAGUUGGGCAGGAGCCCAAUGCUCCCGCAUUGCCUGGGGGCUCCUCUCUGAGGGCCCUCUGCCUCUCAGGGUGCCUUCCCACACGGCCUCUAGAAAAUAAAAGCAGGUUCAACACCCACCCCCUACCCACAAUCCCCGUGUUGCCUGCUGGCUCUCCUCCUCUCUCUGGGUGAGCCUGUGAAACAGCCCAUUUUCUGGGGAUGGGAUUCUCCAGCCGUCCCAGUUGAUGAUAGCAUCUGGCAGGCAGAGAGAUUCCCCCUCCCACCCAGGAGACUGGUGUGGCGGCACAGAGAGAGCGCCCAGCCACCUGCUUUUGUUUCUCAACUAGAAGAGGCUGCAUCCCCACAGCCCUUUGUUGCCCCCCCCCCCCUGGUCUCCUUUUGGUAACCUCUCCGCCCUCCUCCUCCCUAUGCCUGAAUGAACCUGAAUCAAACAGCUGUUUUGUAGUUUGGCCUUUGUGAUUUUCUUAAGCCUUGGAAGAGGGAGGGGCAUCUGUUGGCCACCUAAUGUUUGUAAAAAGAUUUGGAAUGUUCCGACAACCUGAAGUUGCCUAGAAAAUACCCAGGUUGUGCUACUGACUUUGCUCCUUCUGGAUUCCGCUUCACUGGCUUGUUUCCUCCAUGUAACUGUUUUAUUGAAGUAAAGAAACCACCAAGUGUAUUUUGCAACAAGCA
Molecule: RNA transcript, 2217 nt
Organism: Thamnophis elegans (Western terrestrial garter snake)
Lineage: Eukaryota; Metazoa; Chordata; Lepidosauria; Squamata; Natricidae
Gene: PPP1R2
Gene name: protein phosphatase 1 regulatory inhibitor subunit 2
Exons: 7
Source: RefSeq, a predicted model, not a curated record